Molecule: ribosomal RNA, 473 nt
Filed under: uncultured bacterium
Lineage: Bacteria
Description: bacterial SSU rRNA
Rfam family: Bacterial small subunit ribosomal RNA
Source: RNAcentral
GGGCUCACACAAGCGGUGGAGCAUGUGGCUCAAUUCGAAGCAACGCGAAGAACCUUAUCCUGGGUUUGACAUGCAUGGAUUAGUUCGCUGAAAGGCGAAUGACACUCUCGUAGUGGAACAUGCACAGGUGCUGCAUGGCUGUCGUCAGCUCGUGCUGUGAAGUGUCGGGUUAAGUCCCUUAACGAGCGAAACCCCUGUCACUAGUUGCGAACAGGUAAUGCUGCGGACUCUAGUGAGACUGCCGGUGUUAAACCGGACGAAGGUGGGGAUGACGUCAAGUCCUCAUGGCCUUUAUGCCCAGGGCUGCACACGUGCUACAAUGGUGCGCACAGAACGAUGCAAGACCGCAAGGUGGAGCAAAUCGCUCAAAUCGCACCCCAGUUCGGAUUGGAGGCUGCAACCCGCCUCCAUGAAGUCGGAAUCGCUAGUAAUCGCGGAUCAGCUACGCCGCGGUGAAUAUGUUCCUGAGCCUU